RNAcentral lists this ribosomal RNA (680 nucleotides) under uncultured rumen archaeon. RNAcentral describes it as "bacterial SSU rRNA". The stretch from base 1 to 499 matches the Rfam family "Archaeal small subunit ribosomal RNA", at positions 4 to 496 of the family's 1478-position model. The record is from RNAcentral.
GGGGUUGAUCCUGGCGGAGGCUACUGCUAUUGGGAUUCGAUUAAGCCACGCGAGUAGAAUGAAUUUAGAUUCAUGGCGUACGGCUCAGUAACACGUGGAUAACUUACCCUUAUGACUGGGAUAACUCUGGGAAACUGGGGAUAAUACCGGAUAUUAGGCUAUGGCUGGAAUGCUUUGCCUUUGAAAUGUUUCUUGUAUUCGCCUAAGGAUAGAUCUGCGGCUGAUUAGGCCGAUGGUGGGUUAAUGGCCCACCAAGCCUAUGAUCGGUACUGGUUGCGAGAGCAAGAUCCCUGAUAUGGAACUUGAGAGUAGGUUUCAGACCCGUCAGUGUGCUCCGGUCGCGAAUACUCCGCAAUGUUCGAAAGUGUUAACGGGUGGAUCCCCAGUGUUAUUCUUCAAACGAUUAACUUUUCAUUACUUGUAAAAAGUUUUUAGAAUAAAACCUGGUCGAAACCUGUAGCAGACUCCUACUGAAACACAUGCUAUUCAGGCGGUUGCGUGUUCUUUCGAGGGGGCCUAAAGCGCUUUUCGCCCCGGUGGAUAAUUGUUACGUGAACAGCCUAUUUCAUUGAUUGUAAGAAGUGCAGUAGAUGCUGCACAAACUAGGAGUCUGGAGGAAGUUCUAGGACUUACAUGGAGAUGGGGGUAAAUUCUCAAAAAUUUGAGCAGGACUCCUCUGG